AUACAUGCAAGUCGAACGCGCAGCGAAAGGUGCUUGCACCUUUCAAGCGAGUGGCGAACGGGUGAGUAACACGUGGAUAACCUGCCUCAAGGCUGGGGAUAACAUUUGGAAACAGAUGCUAAUACCGAAUAAAACUUAGUAUCGCAUGAUACAAAGUUGAAAGGCGCUACGGCGUCACCUAGAGAUGGGUCCGCGGUGCAUUAGUUAGUUGGUGGGGUAAAGGCCUACCAAGACAAUGAUGCAUAGCCGAGUUGAGAGACUGAUCGGCCACAUUGGGACUGAGACACGGCCCAAACUCCUACGGGAGGCUGCAGUAGGGAAUCUUCCACAAUGGGCGAAAGCCUGAUGGAGCAACGCCGCGUGUGUGAUGAAGGCUUUAGGGUCGUAAAGCACUGUUGUAUGGGAAGAAAUGCUAGAAUAGGGAAUGAUUCUAGUUCGACGGUACCAUACCAGAAAGGGACGGCUAAAUACGUGCCAGCAGCCGCGGUAAUACGUAUGUCCCGAGCGUUAUCCGGAUUUAUUGGGCGUAAAGCGAGCGCAGACGGUUGAUUAAGUCUGAUGUGAAAGCCCGGAGCUCAACUCCGGAAUGGCAUUGGAAACUGGUUAACUUGAGUGUUGUAGAGGUAAGUGGAACUCCAUGUGUAGCGGUGGAAUGCGUAGAUAUAUGGAAGAACACCAGUGGCGAAGGCGGCUUACUGGACAACAACUGACGUUGAGGCUCGAAAGUGU
Molecule: ribosomal RNA, 729 nt
Filed under: Leuconostoc lactis
Lineage: Bacteria; Bacillati; Bacillota; Bacilli; Lactobacillales; Lactobacillaceae
Description: bacterial SSU rRNA
Rfam family: Bacterial small subunit ribosomal RNA
Source: RNAcentral